This is a long non-coding RNA of Sorex fumeus (smoky shrew), 341 nucleotides long. RefSeq lists it as uncharacterized. The record is from RefSeq and is a predicted model, not a curated record. Lineage: Eukaryota; Metazoa; Chordata; Mammalia; Eulipotyphla; Soricidae. The transcript is spliced from 3 exons.
CUUCCUGAUUGUGCUGGUGUCAGAAAGAGCUCAUGGCAAGUACUCAAGGGGACGGAAUGGCAUCGGAAUAUUUUUCCCAGGGGAGAGCACUAACACAGUCCCUCACUACCACAAAUUAUGCAAUUGAGUUUUCCACAUUUGGGGAAAUUGCAGGGGUCCACAUAUCUGGAGUGUAAUCGAUAAGCCUCACCCUGGGAAAACCACCUUUGUGAUCAUGGCAUCUCUCCUGCCAGCUGCGUGGCCCAGAGGAAUAGCUGGUCAGGAUUUCAACGUGUCCUCUGGCGGUGCGUCCUUUCCAGAAGUGCAGCAGAGAAGCCAAGCUUGAAAUAAACUCACUCAGG